RNAcentral lists this ribosomal RNA (420 nucleotides) under uncultured bacterium. Its description in RNAcentral is "bacterial SSU rRNA". It matches the Rfam family "Bacterial small subunit ribosomal RNA", at positions 355 to 775 of the family's 1533-position model. The record is from RNAcentral.
UCGAGAAUUUCUGGCAAUGGGGGAAACCCUGACCAAGCGAUGCCGCGUGUGGGAUGAAGGCCUUCGGGUUGUAAACCACUGUCAGUGGGGAGAAAAGGACCGGUGUACCCGGUUUUGAUCUAUCCGCAGAGGAAGUGUGGGCUAAGCUCGUGCCAGCAGCCGCGGUAAGACGAGCCACACGAACGUUAUUCGGAAUUACUGGGCUUAAAGGGUGCGUAGGCUGCGCGGAAAGUUGGGUGUGAAAUCCCUCGGCUCAACCGAGGAACUGCGCCCAAAACUGCCGUGCUCGAGGAAGAUAGAGGUAAGCGGAACUUACGGUGGAGCGGUGAAAUGCGUUGAUAUCGUAAGGAACACCUGUGGCGAAAGCGGCUUACUGGGUCUUUUCUGACGCUGAUGCACGAAAGCUAGGGGAGCAAACGG